This 252-nucleotide ribosomal RNA is filed under the name uncultured bacterium. RNAcentral describes it as "partial 16S ribosomal RNA". It matches the Rfam family "Bacterial small subunit ribosomal RNA", at positions 524 to 776 of the family's 1533-position model. The record is from RNAcentral.
UACGGAGGGAGCUAGCGUUGUUCGGAAUUACUGGGCGUAAAGCGCGCGUAGGCGGCUUUGUAAGUUAGAGGUGAAAGCCCGGGGCUCAACUCCGGAACUGCCUUUAAGACUGCAUCGCUUGAAUCCGGGAGAGGUGAGUGGAAUUCCGAGUGUAGAGGUGAAAUUCGUAGAUAUUCGGAAGAACACCAGUGGCGAAGGCGGCUCACUGGACCGGUAUUGACGCUGAGGUGCGAAAGCGUGGGAGCAAACAGG